GCCCCCAUCGUCUAGAGGCCCAGGACACAGCCCUUUCAAGGCUGCGACAGGGGUUCGAAUCCCCUUGGGGGCACCA
Molecule: transfer RNA, 76 nt
Filed under: Anaerolineae bacterium
Lineage: Bacteria; Bacillati; Chloroflexota; Anaerolineae
Description: tRNA-Glu
Rfam family: tRNA
About the family: Transfer RNA (tRNA) molecules are approximately 80 nucleotides in length. Their secondary structure includes four short double-helical elements and three loops (D, anti-codon, and T loops). Further hydrogen bonds mediate the characteristic L-shaped molecular structure. tRNAs have two regions of fundamental functional importance: the anti-codon, which is responsible for specific mRNA codon recognition, and the 3' end, to which the tRNAs corresponding amino acid is attached (by aminoacyl-tRNA synthetases). tRNAs cope with the degeneracy of the genetic code in two manners: having more than one tRNA (with a specific anti-codon) for a particular amino acid; and 'wobble' base-pairing, i.e. permitting non-standard base-pairing at the 3rd anti-codon position.
Source: RNAcentral